UUGAACGCUGGCGGCAUGCUUUACACAUGCAAGUCGAACGGUAACAGCACUUCUGUGGCUGACGAGUGGCGAACGGGUGAGUAAGACAUCGGAACGUGCCUGGUAGUGGGGGAUAACUACUCGAAAGAGUAGCUAAUACCGCAUGAGAUCUAAGGAUGAAAGCAGGGGACCUUCGGGCCUUGUGCUACCACAGCGGCUGAUGGCAGAUUAGGUAGUUGGGGGGAUAAAAGCUUACCCCGCCCACAAUAUGUAGCUGGUCUGAGAGGACAACCACCCACACUGGGACUGAGACACGGCCCACACUCCUACGGGAGGCGGCAGUGGGGAAUUUUGGACAAUGGGCGCAAGCCUGAUCCACCAAUGCCCCGUGCAGGAUGAAGGCCUUCUGGUUGUAAACUGCUUUUGUACGGAACAAAAAGCUCUCUUCUAAUACAGGAGGGUCAUGACAGUACCCUAAGAAUAAGCACCGGCUAACUACAUGCCACCAGCCGCGGUAAUACGUAGGGUGCAAGCGUUAAUCGGAAUUACUGGGCGUAAAGCGUGCGCACGCGGUUUUGUAAGACAGAGGUGAAAUCCCCGGGCUCUACCUGGGAACUGCCUUUGUGACUGCAAGGCUGGAGUGCGGCAGAGGGGGAUGGAAUUCCCCGUGUGUCACUGAAAUGCGUAGAUAUGCGGAGGAACACCGAUGGCGAAAGCGAUCCCCUGGGCCUGCACUGACACUCAUGCACGAAAGCGUGGGGAGCACACGGGAUGAGAUACCGUUGUUGUCCACGCCCUAAGCGAUGUCAACUGGUUGUGGAGAAUUAAUUUUCUCAGUAACGAAGAUAACGCGUGAAGUUGACCGCGUGGAGAGUACGGCCGCAAGGUUGACACUCAAAGGAAUUGACGGAGACCCGCACAAGCGGUGGAUGAUGUGGUAUAUUUCGAUGCAACGAGAAACACCUUACCCACCUUUGACAUGGCAGGAAUUUACCAGAGAUGGUUUUGUGCUAGAAAGAGAACCCGCACACAGGUGGCACAUGGGUGUUGUCAGCUCGUGUUGUGAGAUGUUGGGUUAACUCCCGCAAAGAGCGCACCCCUUCCCUUUAGUUUAUAAAAAAGGGCACUAUAAUGGGACCGCGGGUGACAAACCGGAGGAAGGGGGGGAUGACGUCAAGUCCUCAUGCCCCUUAUAGGUGGGGCUACACACGUCAUACAAUGGGUGGUACAAAGGGUCGCCAACCCAGGAGGGGGAGCCAAUCCCAAAAAGCCAGUAGUAGUCAUGAUAGUAGUCUGCAACUCUGCGGCGUGAAGUCGGAAUCGCUAGUAAUCGCGAUCAGAAUGUCACGGAGAAUACGUUCCCGGGUCUUGUACACACC
RNAcentral lists this ribosomal RNA (1358 nucleotides) under uncultured bacterium. RNAcentral describes it as "bacterial SSU rRNA". It matches the Rfam family "Bacterial small subunit ribosomal RNA", at positions 29 to 1391 of the family's 1533-position model. The record is from RNAcentral.